RNAcentral lists this unclassified non-coding RNA (657 nucleotides) under Hevea brasiliensis (rubber tree). The record is from RNAcentral. Lineage: Eukaryota; Viridiplantae; Streptophyta; Magnoliopsida; Malpighiales; Euphorbiaceae.
UUAAAAGUAAAGCUGCAGAACAGGUAAUUGGAAAUUAUUAUUCUUGAUUUCCUUCCUUACAUGUGUACACAAAUUGUUCAUCAUUGUGUAUAUUGGAUUUCCUCUUUAGGAAGUUAGUAAGACUAGCCAUUUAUUUACAUGCUUUCACAAAAUAUUUGGAAUUGCAUUCUCUUUCAAAAGAAAAGCAGGAGGAAAAAAGAGGGGAUGUUUUAGGCUUUGUUUAUUUUACGGAAAAUAUUUUCUUGGAAAAUAUUUUUCGCAUUUUUUAGCGCAAUCGAAAAAUGGGUCAAUGGAAAAUAUUUCUUUGGUCAAAGGGAAACUAAGCUAUUUUUAUGGAAAAUGACUUCAUCUUUUCUGAAUCUUACUUAAAUGUGAAACACUUAUACAUGUAUAAAAUAAAUACAUGCCAUUAGUUUUAACAUUGUAAUCAAAUAAUGGAAAAUAUUUUCAUCUUAGAAAAUAAUUUUCAUGAAAAAUAUUUUUUAUAGGCAAGUUAUUUUCCACGAAACAAAUAUAGCCUAGUAUGGUUACAAGUCUUUCCAUCUUUAGAUUUAUCGCUACUGAACUGAUAAUGGGUGUUUGCUAAGUGUUAGAUACAAUUGUGCUACUCCUGUUGACAUUCAUCCUAUAUUUUCUUGUAGGGUUGGAGAAUGUCAG